Molecule: ribosomal RNA, 253 nt
Filed under: uncultured bacterium
Lineage: Bacteria
Description: partial 16S ribosomal RNA
Rfam family: Bacterial small subunit ribosomal RNA
Source: RNAcentral
GACAGAGGGGGCAAGCGUUGCUCGGAAUUACUGGGCGUAAAGGGCUCGUAGGCGGCCAACUAAGUCCGACGUGAAAUCCCAAGGCUUAACCUUGGAACUGCGUCGGAUACUGGAUGGCUUGAAUUCGGGAGAGGGAUGCAGAAUUCCAGGUGUAGCGGUGAAAUGCGUAGAUAUCUGGAGGAAUACCGGUGGCGAAGGCGGCAUCCUGGACCGACAUUGACGCUGAGGAGCGAAAGCUAGGGGAGCAAACGGG